AUUGAACGCUGGCGGCAGGCCUAACACAUGCAAGUCGAGCGGAUGAAGGGAGCUUGCUCCUGGAUUCAGCGGCGGACGGGUGAGUAAUGCCUAGGAAUCUGCCUGGUAGUGGGGGAUAACGUCCGGAAACGGGCGCUAAUACCGCAUACGUCCUGAGGGAGAAAGUGGGGGAUCUUCGGACCUCACGCUAUCAGAUGAGCCUAGGUCGGAUUAGCUAGUUGGUGGGGUAAAGGCCUACCAAGGCGACGAUCCGUAACUGGUCUGAGAGGAUGAUCAGUCACACUGGAACUGAGACACGGUCCAGACUCCUACGGGAGGCAGCAGUGGGGAAUAUUGGACAAUGGGCGAAAGCCUGAUCCAGCCAUGCCGCGUGUGUGAAGAAGGUCUUCGGAUUGCAAAGCACUUUAAGUUGGGAGGAAGGGCAGUAAGUUAAUACCUUGCUGGUUUGACGUUAACAACAGAAGAAGCACCGGCUAACUUCGUG
This 484-nucleotide ribosomal RNA is filed under the name uncultured bacterium. RNAcentral's name for it is "partial 16S ribosomal RNA". It matches the Rfam family "Bacterial small subunit ribosomal RNA", at positions 30 to 507 of the family's 1533-position model. The record is from RNAcentral.